AGGGCGCCAGUUCUCUUUCAGAAGCGGGAGAAGUUCAGGUGCCCAACACCUUGAUCAGUGCCUGCUUUGUAGUAGGCAUUCAAAUACUGUGGACUGGAUGAAUGGAGUCACUUCCCUUCCAACCUGCACACCAACGUGGUUGAACUGCCUCCUUUCUAAGUGCCAAAGUCUGUUUUACAAGGCUGUAAGUGAAAUCACUGACAUGGAAAUUAUAUUUUCAAAAUUAAAGGAACAAUUUUCUAAACCCUGCUGUGCCCAUCUGGGCACCCAGUCCAGCCUCCCUUCCUGGGCGCCUUGACUCCCAACUGCAGAUGAAGUGUCUGGAAAUCAUGGUACUCAAGGUAGGAUCCACAUUGCCUGCCGGCCUAGGACCAAGAUCUGCAAGUCAGAACGAAACACCAGCUGUCCCUGUCUCCUGCACCCAUCCCCAUCCCGGAUAUCAAAGGAGCAUUACAAAAUAUUGUCUAACAGAAGUACCAGGGCUGGAUCCCAAAGUUUUGUGUAGAUCUUGAUAAAGAGUUUGGAUUUUAUUCUAACAAGAGUGAAGAGCAUGACAAUGUUUGCAGAAGAGUGAUGGCUUCUUUCAGGCAACAGUGACAAUUACACCUCCUCUUUUUCUCUUUGAUCCUCCACCCUCUCCCUCCAGCACCUGGUACAAAGCUGGGUACCCAGCAGACACUCUGUAAAUUAAAGUGCUGCCAGCCUGAACAAUCUCAG
Molecule: long non-coding RNA, 717 nt
Filed under: Homo sapiens (human)
Lineage: Eukaryota; Metazoa; Chordata; Mammalia; Primates; Hominidae
Description: HSALNT0168691
Source: RNAcentral